This 253-nucleotide ribosomal RNA is filed under the name uncultured bacterium. RNAcentral's name for it is "partial 16S ribosomal RNA". It matches the Rfam family "Bacterial small subunit ribosomal RNA", at positions 524 to 776 of the family's 1533-position model. The record is from RNAcentral.
UACGGAAGGUUCGGGCGUUAUCCGGAUUUAUUGGGUUUAAAGGGAGCGUAGGCCGUUUUUUAAGCGUGUUGUGAAAAGUCAUGGCUCAACCAUGGCCUUGCAGCGCGAACUGGGAGACUUGAGGAUGCGGAAAGCAGGUGGAAUUUGUGGUGUAGCGGUGAAAUGCUUAGAUAUCACGAAGAACUCCGAUUGCGAAGGCAGCUUGCUGUAGCAGUUCUGACGCUGAUGCUCGAAGGUGCGGGUAUCGAACAGG